GAGAGAGAGAGAGAGAGAGAAAGAAUUCAGUAGAUUUCCUAUUUAGUUGAUGCAAAAUUGGUAUGUGUUGUUCACAGUAAAUUGGGUAGUUAAUACCGUCUCUAUUGACUGUGAGAUAUUUCUUAAUUGUUAGUUGCUCAAUUAAGUAGUUAACUGGUUGAAAACUUGGCUAUUUCUUCAAUUGGUGUCAUUUGGUCGAUUAAUUUAUUAAACAGUUAUUUGAUCCGUUAGUUGAUCGAUUUAAAUAUGAUCAGACUAAUUGACCUGUUUGAUUGGCAAAUUUAUUAAAUGAUUAAUUGAUGGGCAAAUUGAUUCAAUAAUGGAGUAAUUGAUUUAUUAAACAAUUGAUUAGUUUGAGUGACUAGGUUAUUGGCUAAUCAGCUGACUAAUUGACUAGUUUUUGUGACUAGGAUAUUGGUUGAUUGACCUGGUUGACUGAGGUUGAUUGACCUGGUUGAUUGAAGUUGAUUGGCCUGGUUGAUUGAAGUUGAUUGACCUGGUUGACUGAGGUUGAUUGGCCUUUUUGAUUGAAGUUGAUUGACCUGGUUGAUUGAGGUUGAUUGACCUGGUUGAAUGACCUGGUUGAUUGAGGUUGAUUGACCUGGUUGAUUGAGAUUGAUUGACCUAAUUGAUUGGUUAUUGAAGCUGAUUGACUAGUUAUUUGACGCAAAACAUUUAGUGACGGGAGAUAAUAACAAAAUAUAAGACCUCCCUGGACAAAAGUAGAUGUUUUACACCUUAGUUCCGGAUGUCUCAGAUCGUCUGUCUGUCACCUGCUAGACGAACGCCCGUGGGAGCAUGAAGUGUGCCAGUAUGAGGUGUGGGCUAAACAUGGGGUGUUUUGUAAGAAGAGGGGAGGGAGGGGAGAGAUUGAUGUCUGUUAGAUAUGAGUUUUCUCUCAUGAUACACUGUUAUUUGUGGACACGGGUUGUGGUUGUUAGUUUAAGUAGUUUUACAGUGUGUGUGUGUGUGUGUGUGUGUGUGUGUGUGUGUGUGUGUGUGUGUGUGUGUGUGUGUGUGUGUGCGCACGCGGGGUUUUCCUGAUCCGGAUUCACAAUGUAGGGAAGCAUCAAAGGGGAAUAAUAUUACUCUGCCAUCUUAGCUCGGUCGUCAUGACUAUCUCCCAUUCUCUAAAAAGCCCAACACCGACAAACUAUCCCUUGAGCACUCGCGAGCAGAGCCUCCUUCCACCUCCCUCCCAGCAUGUGCCAUAAUGUGAAAGCAAGACGGGGUUCUCCAGUCGUGUUGACGUUCCUGAGAGGCAUCCGGAUUCUGCGAGAAUGUUUACAGUCGUAGGGAGUGACCACGACAACAGAAAGUCACUUUUAGAUACGAAUCUGUGUGUGUGUGUGUCUGUUUCUCUCUCUCUCUCUCUCUCUCUCUCUCUCUCUCUCUCUCUCUCUCUCUCUCUCUCUCUCUCUCUCUCUCUCUCUCUCUCUCUCUCUCUCUCUCUCUCUCUCUCUCCGUUAUGCUCUCCCGUCACAGGCAUAUUUCUAUGCAUUUCUAAACUGCAUAGAAAUAGCUCGUUUUCUUCAGUCAAGGAUAUGACCACGGUAUACAAAGUUUGUGCUGCUUGCAUAGUGCAGACUCUGUAACUCCACAGUGUGGACAUGCACUCUGUAACUCCUCUUCUUUUCGCGUCUAAUUCCUUUUAUCUCCUUAACACCUUCAAAUUAAAAAUAUAAUAUACAAAAAAAUAUCAAAUUA
Procambarus clarkii (red swamp crayfish) is the source of this 1707-nucleotide non-coding RNA. The record is from RefSeq and is a predicted model, not a curated record. NCBI's taxonomy places the organism in Eukaryota, Metazoa, Arthropoda, Malacostraca, Decapoda, Cambaridae.